AACGAACGCUGGCGGCAUGCCUAACACAUGCAAGUCGAACGAGAUCUUCGGGUCUAGUGGCGCACGGGUGCGUAACGCGUGGGAAUCUGCCCUUCGGUUCGGAAUAACUCAGGGAAACUUGAGCUAAUACCGGAUAAUGACGUAAGUCCAAAGAUUUAUCGCCGAAGGAUGAGCCCGCGUAGGAUUAGCUUGUUGGUGGGGUAAUGGCCCACCAAGGCGACGAUCCUUAGCUGGUCUGAGAGGAUGAUCAGCCACACUGGGACUGAGACACGGCCCAGACUCCUACGGGAGGCAGCAGGUGGGGAAUAUUGGACAAUGGGCGAAAGCCUGAUCCAGCAAUGCCGCGUGAGUGAUGAAGGCCGUUAGGGUUGUAAAGCUCUUUUACCCGGGAUGAUAAUGACAGUACCGGGAGAAUAAGCUCCGGCUAACUCCGUG
RNAcentral lists this ribosomal RNA (435 nucleotides) under uncultured bacterium. RNAcentral's name for it is "bacterial SSU rRNA". It matches the Rfam family "Bacterial small subunit ribosomal RNA", at positions 29 to 507 of the family's 1533-position model. The record is from RNAcentral.